UUUGUGCUCGACUUCUACUCCCUUUUUCCCUCCCUCCUGCGCUGCUGCUUUUUUAUCUCUUCGACUUAAAAUUUUUUAUCCGGAGUGUAUUUAAUCGGUUCUGUUCUGUCCUCUUCACCACCCCCACUCCCCCCUCCCUCCGGUGUGUGUGCUGCCCGCCCCGUCGUUACACCAACCGGAGGCUCUUUGUUCCCCCCCUUGGAUCUGUUGAGUUUCUUUGUUGAAGAAGCCAGCAUGGGUGCCCAGUUCUCCAAGACCGCUGCGAAGGGAGAAGCCACCGCGGAGAGGCCCGGGGAGGCGGCUGUGGCCUCGUCGCCUUCCAAAGCGAAUGGGCAGGGAAGUGGCCAUACUCGGAAAGAAAGAACGACCUCGUAUCAUCCUUUUUGGUUCCUCUCAACCACAGCUCAUCUCAAGUAAUGUUUCAGUGGGUUUUUUUUUUAAGUUUCUCACCGUACUUUUAUUGCUAAAACAUUUCCUCUUUUGACUGAAGCACACAAGCAUGAGAAGAAGCAAGAUAGACUCUGUUUGCACACACACGUGCUCGCCUACAUGUAUUUCCCGAUCAGAGAGAUUACAAAGAACCAUUAAAAAUGUUAGUCAUUUGGAAUACCAGAGUUAGAGCGGUGACCAGGUGCUAAAGAGUUUUGAUCAUCAGAUAAAUCCGAAGGUGAUUUACAGAAGCAGCCAGUGUGUGCUGAGGAACAGAGUUUAGGGCAGUGACGUUCCUUGGGAGAAGAGAGGCAGCACCCAACGCAAGCAAUGAAAGCUACACGUUUCCUUUGUUUUAAGUAGGUUUUAUAUUUGCUUACAGAAUGUUUAAAACAUAUUUCACAUCUGUUUCUUAAGAGUUUCAUAUCAGGGUUUUGUUUUUUUUUUCUUUUCUUAAUCAGUUUCUUUACAGAGUUACACCACUACCAAGAAGUUAGGAGAUCAUGUAACCAGUGUGAAAACCAAUUAAAAUUAAUUAUUGUAUAGAGGUUAGAUAAGGUUAAAGUAUCUACCUACCCACCCACAUUCCAGAACUUGGGUAGAGGUCUUUGUGUGCAGGGUGAUAAAUAAGUGUUUGACAUUUGGUGUAUUAAUUGAUUAGCAUUAGAAGAAAUAGCAGCCACACCUGGUGGAUAGUAAAUAGAGCUAGAGACAGAGAGAUUCAAAAGUAUUCCCCUAUCACCCAGACUUACGUCCCCGUGUUUCUCACAAGGGUGUUCAAAAUGAAGCUUUCUUGUUCUUUCUUAAUAAAAUUCUCCCAGGUGAUAUCA
RNAcentral lists this long non-coding RNA (1259 nucleotides) under Ursus maritimus (polar bear). RNAcentral describes it as "lncRNA (ENSUMAG00000025458.1)". Lineage: Eukaryota; Metazoa; Chordata; Mammalia; Carnivora; Ursidae. The record is from RNAcentral.